This 468-nucleotide ribosomal RNA is filed under the name uncultured bacterium. RNAcentral's name for it is "partial 16S ribosomal RNA". It matches the Rfam family "Bacterial small subunit ribosomal RNA", at positions 28 to 507 of the family's 1533-position model. The record is from RNAcentral.
GACGAACGCUGGCGGCGUGCUUAACACAUGCAAGUCGAACGGAAAGGCCCUGCUUUUGUGGGGUGCUCGAGUGGCGAACGGGUGAGUAACACGUGAGUAACCUGCCCUUGACUUUGGGAUAACUUCAGGAAACUGGGGCUAAUACCGGAUAGGAGCUCCUGCUGCAUGGUGGGGGUUGGAAAGUUUCGGCGGGUGGGGAUGGACUCGCGGCUUAUGAGCUUGUUGGUGGGGUAGUGGUUUACCAAGGCUUUGACGGGUAGGCGGCCUGAGAGGGUGACCGGCCACAUGGGGACUGAGAUACGGCCCAGUCGGCAACGUGAGGCAGCGGUGGGGAGUAUGGCACAGUGGGCGGAAGCCUGAUGCAGAGACGCCGCGUGCGGGAUGACGGCCUUCGGGUUGUAAACCGCUUUCGCCUGUGACGAAGCGUGAGUGACGGUAAUGGGUAAAGAAGCACCGGCUAACUACGUG